Molecule: RNA transcript, 1013 nt
Organism: Triticum aestivum (bread wheat)
Lineage: Eukaryota; Viridiplantae; Streptophyta; Magnoliopsida; Poales; Poaceae
Exons: 5
Source: RefSeq, a predicted model, not a curated record
GCCUCAUGAAUAUGCUAGCAUGGUUUGGAGCCGACCACGGAAGUCACAGUUUAAGAGCUCGAGGAGGAGGGGCAUGUGGAGGUUUCCGCCGCCAGUGGCUGCACUGCUGGUCUUCGUCGCCUGCUGCUGUCAGAUCCAGCAUGACCUAUCCUAUCGGUUCUCCAUCGCUUCACUCUGCUUCAUGUGCAUAUGUGCGGAGAAUAUGACGACCCGCCCCUGUUCUUCACCAGCCACACUCUCCCUUAUGCGCACAAUAACCAUCAUCGCAGAAGCUUAGCUGAUAGGCGGUGAGCUUUUUGGAGGAAGCGGAGACGAAGAUUUCUAUUGGCCAAAAAGAUGGAGGCGCCAUGGGAAGCACUGACGAGCAACAGUCUCAGCCGAUGCAUCGACGAGCUGAGGCGGGCUUCCAAUAGAGAAAUAAGGAGGAUAAUAAGACUAUUGGAGGUCACCAUUCAAGGAUUUUGAUAUCUGAAUGUUAUGACAAUAGCCCUCCGCGUCCUGGUGGCCACUGUAUGCUGCAGCGAAGGGCACACUUCAAUUAGUGUGCAGGCAAAUGCGCUGAUCCCGGGUGUGAUUUGACAUUGUGAUUUGCAGUUUAUCAAGGUCGUCAUUAGCCGAGCCGUUCCUAUGCUUCGAUACACAUGCCUGAAUCUGGAUACACUCCAGUGCUGAUGGUAAUACUUUCAGUCACUCACAAACAAUAAGCUUCAGCAUACAAAGCAGAGCCCAAUGCUAUUGGAUUGGUGUACUGGUAUGCAAUUCCUUGUACAUUUUACUUCUAUAUAGGAUUUCCGAUUACUGGGUGCAAACUUUGUACAAGGCAGUCUGAGCUACCACUUGGUGAAGAUGCGAUCCAAUAUGUUCAGUGAUACCCUUUUUUGUGUGUAGGGAAUCACUGAUAUGAUACAACUAUUUGUUAUCUGAAUUUUUGAAUAUAUGUACACCCAUGGUGAUGUUUCGGUGCUCAUUUAUAAAGCAUUCGUCUAUGAAUGAAUUUUCUGAAUAUUACCACA